AUGACCUCCCCUGACUUCUCUGGUCUCUAAUGUUCUUUUCAUCCUGAAGUUUCUCACAUUUAUCUUUAUCUCCACAGGGUACUUAAAUUGAGCUACUAUGGAGUGGGGGGAAGGGAGAAGGAAAGAAACUCCUUUCCCUAAACCUUCUCCUGCCUGAGAGUUUUAGGAAAGCCCAGUAUCACUGUGGUAGAAUGGAAUCACAAGCAGUUCGUGAAAAGAGUUAGAGAGAAGCAAAAGGCCAUUAAGUAACACCAACCCACCUUCCACUGGAUUCUCAACAUCAUCCUCAGGUGCUCAAAGAGACGAUUUUCACCAUCACAGUCCCCACCUGCGAAACUCUCGCACAUACCUUAAAGCCUGCACUACUGGUGCACUGGAGCAGGACUGGGCCCCGCCCUAGUCAGGAGAGCACACGGCCCUGGGGAAAAGCACUGAGCUGAGAGUGAAGGCUCAUAUCACAGACGCAGCUCUGCACUGGCAAGAGCUCUGAGAAUAUAAGCCUUGGGAAAGUCAUCUCACCUCUCUGGGACUCAGUUUCUCCAUCUGCAGCACCAGGACAACGUGAUGAAAUCCCGAAUCCCGUUCUGACAUUCAAAGGACCUAAGGGCCAAGCUGGUGACCCCUACCCUGGGUUCUUAUUUCUGCGUUAGGGCAGACAUGCCACAGAAGAGCCAAGGUAUUAAGACAAGUGAUUACAAGUCACUCUCUAAACUAUCCUGAAAGUUCAGACAGUAAAAAGUCAGCCACAACUUUUCUGAAAUCCAAAAUGAAAAGUUUUGGAACUUACAGUCCUGGCCCAGACCAUUCAUUUUACGAAGGUCAGGACUCUCUGUUUCUUGGACGGUAAACCAGGAAAGAAAACAAUGGGACAACAGUAGUUACCUGGCACCUGGAAGGGCACAUUGCUUGCUUGCUAGAAGGGCCCUCCAAACACUAGACUGAGAAGGACGUACAGGGGGCCUUAGGGUAAGCAUUCAUUCCAAAAAAUAUGGGAAUGACAGCUGCUAUUUCUGGCCAAUGGAUCAGGACCUGAAAGAUGGGUGUAAUCUCCACUGAACAAAUCGUACUGUCAGAAAUAAUCUUGCAUCUGCCAGCACUCAACAAACCGGCAGCUCUUUAGAGAGGACUCUCUGGGGACCCAGAGCUGCAGUAACCAAGGGAAAUGUAUUCAGAUUAGAUCAGCAAAGGCCUCUCCGUUUCCACACGAGGUAUUGUAGGGGGCAAUGACACCGGCCAACACACAAGAUUUACACAAUGAACUCCCUGAAUGCUGCACAUGUCCGGGUCAGAAGAGCUGCCGCUGGGCUACAAAUGGCUCCUGAAGCAGCAGAUGCCAAGUGUCCUAUUUACCUUUGCCUUUGGUUACAAUUCCUCAAGAGGGCCUGAGAGGUCUGCUAUUCAUGGUAUUGCCUUUUCCGUCCAUUUUAAAUUAGGAAGAAUUCUUACUUGUCUCAUUCCCUUUACCUUUCUCUUCCCAACAUGAAAACAUAAAUAAGAUGUGGUGUGUCCAAAUGAUGGAAUAUUAUUUAGUAACAAAAAAGAAUGAAGUACU
Molecule: long non-coding RNA, 1552 nt
Organism: Balaenoptera musculus (blue whale)
Lineage: Eukaryota; Metazoa; Chordata; Mammalia; Artiodactyla; Balaenopteridae
Exons: 3
Source: RefSeq, a predicted model, not a curated record